Molecule: long non-coding RNA, 1764 nt
Organism: Neofelis nebulosa (Clouded leopard)
Lineage: Eukaryota; Metazoa; Chordata; Mammalia; Carnivora; Felidae
Exons: 2
Source: RefSeq, a predicted model, not a curated record
AGGAUGAACUGACCGAGUUUCUGAUUGAUUUUGCAGAAGUUAACGGCAAAACUUGACUGAACGUAGCGUGGCCUGGGUUUCUCGAAUUUUCAAGCCACCUGACUGGAUUUCUGACUGGGCUGACUGAAAAGUUUUAACCGGGUUCACGAUUUGUUAUUUUAAAAACUAAACUCCCCAAGUGCUUGACUGAGCUCUCCGGAGUCUGUCGCCCUGAGUUGGCCAGAUGAUGGGGUGCUCCUGGAACGAGACUGAAGAACAGGAAAUCGUGCGGGGCGCCUUGCCUGGCCGGCCCUCGGCCUGCCCCCGCCUCACACGCGGCUCACCCGGAGCCAGCCUGCGCACCUGAAGGGGGUGCGGGGCAGGCGGCGUCCCUCUUCCAACAUUCUGGAAUCUUCUGACAUUCUAGCGCCUUCUAGAAUGCUAUUGCAUUUCCAUCCCUUUCUGCCUCACUUCUUGUUCCAGCAUUGCCCAACUCUCAGGGAUGGGCAUCAGCGGCCCUAGGAAACAACGUUCCCGAGUCCAUCUGGCCUGAGUCCCCAUUUCCCAUCCAGGAAGUGGUAUAAAACAGAGCUCAAAAGGGAGGGCUCUGCGUCAGCCUGCCUGGGCUCAGGGCUCGCUCCUGGGUCUAGCCGCGUUGCGCGCUCCUGGGCCGUGUUAAUGAACUUGUCUGAGCGGUGGUUUCUUCACCUCCCACAUGGGUGUGAUUCUCUCCUGCUUGGAGGUUUUGACCAAGAAUACUAAUGAUGGCUGAUGCUUGCUGAACACUGACUUGAGCCAGGCUCUGCUCUGGGGCCGCAUAGGGCCUGAGGAUCCCCGCUGAAUCUUCACCGGAGCGCCUAAGUCUAAGAAGUGAAGGGGUCAGCACAAUCCAAGUGGCCGCCUUCAGCCUCUCGGCGAUCCUGCCUCCUGGGCUUGCCUGGCACUGAUAGAGUCCAGGGAUCAUCGGCGAGCACGGUCUGCCUCGUCACCGUGUUGUGAUACGACCGGUGGCCUGCUUCUUGUUGGGAAAUUGGGCUGCUCUUCGGCUCCCGUUGUGGCAUGUCAGGACCGUGGGGUUCGUUCUGUUUCGGGGGACGUUCGUCAAUCUGCUCACAUCUGGUCUGAUGUUACCAUGAGGACCUCCCGGGUUUCUUUACUGGCGCCUUAACGGGAACCAGGUUCGCAAAGCAUUCGCCAGUCCUGGUGUGUCCCUGCGUUUGCCAGCCAUUAGCCAUAAGUCGCGGACGGCGACAGCGGAGGAAUUGGCCCUGAUCCUGAGCUCGCACCACACCUGUGGCCGCGCUGGUCUUCUUGUCUUCUCCGGGGCGGGAGAGGAGGCAGGUGCUGAGGAGGAUGUAUGAAGGAUGAUAAAUAUUCAUCCCUCACUGGAAGGGAAGUUCUGCUUUAACAGGAAGAGCUGGCUGUGGGCUGCUGUCUUCAGUCUCUGCCUUAAGUCCUGUGCCUUCGUGUGUGUGCUGUCCAGACAAAUGCCUUCACUUCCCCUCUUCCGUGUCUUUGCACAUGCUGUCCUCUGCCCCGUGCGUCUUCCUCCUCCUUGAUGUACUUAUUCCGCACGUACCGAAAAUCUCCUCUAUGUUACAUGUGACUCAGGAGCUGGAAACACGAAGACACGAUCCCUGCCUCAGGGGCUCCCAGUGGCAGAGGGAUGCAGAGUAUCAGGGAUCACAGGCCUGGGACACCGAGACCGUGCGGGGCCGGACAAGGGACAGGUCAGGGAACUCGCCAGGGCCCUGGGGAAGUUUAAUAAAUAUCUGUUCAAAGUAA